UACGUAGGUGGCAAGCGUUUGUCCGGAUUUACUGGGCGUAAAGAGCGCGCAGGCGGUCGUUCAAGUCGCGUGUGAAAGCCCCCCGGCUCAACUGAGGAAGUGCACCCGAAACUGAGUGGCUAGAGUACGAAAGAGGGUCGCGGAAUUCCCGGUGUAGAGGUGAAAUUCGUAGAUAUCGGGAGGAACACCGGUGGCGAAGGCGGCGACCUGGGUCGAUACUGACGCUGAUGCGCGAAAGGCGUGGGGAGCAAACAGG
This 256-nucleotide ribosomal RNA is filed under the name uncultured bacterium. Its description in RNAcentral is "partial 16S ribosomal RNA". It matches the Rfam family "Bacterial small subunit ribosomal RNA", at positions 524 to 776 of the family's 1533-position model. The record is from RNAcentral.